Molecule: unclassified non-coding RNA, 346 nt
Filed under: soil metagenome
Description: partial contains 5.8S ribosomal RNA, internal transcribed spacer 2, and large subunit ribosomal RNA
Rfam family: 5.8S ribosomal RNA (bases 1-119)
Source: RNAcentral
GAUGAAGAACGUAGCGAAAUGCGAUACGUAAUGUGAAUUGCAAAUUCAGUGAAUCAUCGAGUCUUUGAACGCACAUUGCGCCCCCUGGUAUUCCGGGGGGCAUGCCUGUCCGAGCGUCAUUGCUGCCCUCUAGCACGGCUUGUGUGUUGGGCCCCGUCCUCCGAUCCCGGGGGACGGGCCCGAAAGGCAGCGGCGGCACCGCGUCCGGUCCUCGAGCGUAUGGGGCUUUGUCACCCGCUCUGUAGGCCCGGCCGGCGCUUGCCGAUCAACCCAAAUUUUUUAUCCAGGUUGACCUCGGAUCAGGUAGGGAUACCCGCUGAACUUAAGCAUAUCAAUAAGCGGAGGA